Molecule: long non-coding RNA, 537 nt
Filed under: Mytilus galloprovincialis (Mediterranean mussel)
Lineage: Eukaryota; Metazoa; Mollusca; Bivalvia; Mytilida; Mytilidae
Source: RNAcentral
AAUUUUGAAAUAUUUUAAUAAACAAAGUAUUAGAAAAGGUUAUUUGGCAUAAUCCUCUUGACUGGUUGGACUCAAACAGAUAAUACAUUGUAGACAAAAAACUAUCACCUUCCUACUUAGAGGCAUCAUUGCCAUUUCAGAAGUGACAUUUGUCUACUAUCCAGAAACAUAUUCUUAAAUACCGAGACGAUAUCCUCACAACUUUUGUAUGAAAAAUUGCUCUAUAUGUAGGACUCUUAUCAUUUCAGCUCCUCUAUCCAUACAUUAUCAUUAAAAGUGUUUUUCAACGGCUGUUUGGUAGCAAUAACUUCGUUUUCGAAUAUUCCGAUAGCUGGUUUCUUAUUUCAAUACUGUUAAAGCAAAUUGCACUAUGAAGGGAACCAGAUGCGGUUGCAUAUUUUUAUAAACAAUUUUGAAGAAAUGAAUUUUAAUUCUCAUUUUACACUUACCACAACUGGGGCCUUGUUUCUAGCAUUCUAAAAAGAAACAGUUUCGACAAAAACUACGGGGAUCAUUUAAUUUUAGAUGUUUGAAGAC